Molecule: ribosomal RNA, 566 nt
Filed under: Kodamaea ohmeri
Lineage: Eukaryota; Fungi; Ascomycota; Pichiomycetes; Serinales; Debaryomycetaceae
Description: partial large subunit ribosomal RNA
Rfam family: Eukaryotic large subunit ribosomal RNA
Source: RNAcentral
UUCUUCCUCCCUUUUGCAUAUCAAUAAGCGGAGGAAAAGAAACCAACAGGGAUUGCCUCAGUAACGGCGAGUGAAGCGGCAAAAGCUCAAAUUUGAAAUCCCCCCGGGGAGUUGUAAUUUGAAGAUUGCGUCUUGGAGGCGACCGUGUCUAUGUUCCUUGGAACAGGACGUCACAGAGGGUGAGAAUCCCGUGCGGCACGGCCCCCGGCUCCUUAUAAGGCGCUCUCGACGAGUCGAGUUGUUUGGGAAUGCAGCUCAAAGUGGGUGGUAAAUUCCAUCUAAAGCUAAAUACAGGCGAGAGACCGAUAGCGAACAAGUACAGUGAUGGAAAGAUGAAAAGCACUUUGAAAAGAGAGUGAAACAGCACGUGAAAUUGUUGAAAGGGAAGGGCAUGCCGUCAGAUUGUCAGUGUGGGUAAGAAGCGGGGUACAAAGACUGUGGAACGUGGCCCUCGGGUGUUAUAGCCGCAGUUCAUGCCCCGUCUCUUUCCGAGGCCUGCUUUGAGGACACCGACGUAAUGACGGUACGCCGCCCGUCUUGAAACACGGACCAAAUUUUUUUAUCGU